Clupea harengus (Atlantic herring) is the source of this 286-nucleotide long non-coding RNA. Lineage: Eukaryota; Metazoa; Chordata; Actinopteri; Clupeiformes; Clupeidae. The record is from Ensembl.
ACAUGUGAAUGGGUAAAAUGGCAUCUUUCACAGUAUUUCUGCCAUCCUUUUACUUGUUUUGGGUCAUCACUCCUUACUGACUUCCAAAACCUGAGCUGUCUGUAUCCUCUUCAGUAAUUUUGCCGACAACCAAAGUCCAUCUGAGUUGUAUAGUCCCUCAGGAUCCAGUGCCUCAGUGUUUUUUCUCAGUGGGAACAUACACCAACUCUUCAUCAUCAUGCCAGCUGACCCUCACAGGAGAACAAAUGAAAGUCUGGGGACAUGUAAACCCACCUUCAGUGCUUCC